RNAcentral lists this long non-coding RNA (670 nucleotides) under Astyanax mexicanus (Mexican tetra). RNAcentral describes it as "lncRNA (ENSAMXG00005014467.1)". The record is from RNAcentral. Lineage: Eukaryota; Metazoa; Chordata; Actinopteri; Characiformes; Acestrorhamphidae.
UCAUUUCAGGCCGCGCUGUUUGUCUUGUGCUUUCAGACGCAGGUCUGCUGCAGAAGGAUGCCGCGGUGCUGAAGCUGCAGGAGGAGCUUCAGCCCAACCUGCACGUCCUGGGAACGCUGUUCCUCAGCAAACGCUGCAGCCGGGCCUUCGACCUCAUCCUGCUCUCUCAGUUUGUGUCUAUCGGGAUCAGCUAUGUUCUGGCGGGGAGUGAAGCCUACGCUGCACUGCUUCAUACCAGUCACAUCUAUGUUAUCCCUGUGUUCACGUGGACACUCUCAUUGGGUAUUCUUCUGGCCCAGGUCAUCAUUCAGCCAAUCACGUCACUUCUGACACUUCUCAAAGGCAUCCUAUUGAUCAUAACGCCCAGGAUGACAGAGGUAGGAUGUACAGGUCCAAAUCUGUCACCGGUUCAGCAGAUGUGAUGGAACACUAGGACACUCAGUCCAAGUCUCCAACCUCCUGAAACAGCAGCAGAAAUCUCCAAAAUACGUGCAGAAAAGUGCAGCCGGGGAUAAAAUUACAGAAAAUACUCAAAACAACUGAUAAUAUUUAAUAUUAAACUGAUGAAGAAAAUACAUUAUGUAUUGCUUAUAACUUUUCUAAUGUAAUAUUAAGUCUAGGGGUCAGUGAUAUGAGUAUUUUGCGAUAACAGUAUUCUUAAUGAUAUGGA